UCCUCCUACAAAGGUGUGUCUGUAGUUCCCUGUCGUUGGACACAUAAGAAUUAGAGGAAAAGAAAUGUGGAUUUGGAUAAGUCUGGAACCAGCUUGCUCCCUACAGGCUCAAAACCAACUAUCCAACAGAA
This 131-nucleotide small nucleolar RNA is filed under the name Suricata suricatta (meerkat). RNAcentral describes it as "Small nucleolar RNA SNORA38 (ENSSSUG00005010612.1)". It matches the Rfam family "Small nucleolar RNA SNORA38". From Rfam's summary of the family: ACA38 is a member of the H/ACA class of snoRNA that guide the sites of modification of uridines to pseudouridines. The record is from Rfam by way of RNAcentral. Lineage: Eukaryota; Metazoa; Chordata; Mammalia; Carnivora; Herpestidae.